AACGCUGGCGGUAUGCUUAACACAUGCAAGUCGAACGUAAGUUUUAACUUAAGUGGCGGACGGGUGAGUAACACGUGAGAAUUUACCCUUAGGAGGGGGAUAACCGUAGGAAACAACGGCUAAAACCCCAUAUACUUUUAGGUUGUAUAACUUGAGUAGUAAAAUUAGAUGUUUCUGCCUAAGAAAAAGCUCGCGGCUGAUUAGCUAGUUGGUUGGGUAAAGGCUUACCAAGGCGACGAUCAGUAUCUGGGUUUGAGAGGACGAUCAGACACACUGGAACUGAGAUACGGUCCAGACUUC
Molecule: ribosomal RNA, 300 nt
Filed under: uncultured bacterium
Lineage: Bacteria
Description: bacterial SSU rRNA
Rfam family: Bacterial small subunit ribosomal RNA
Source: RNAcentral